GAUGAACGCUGGCGGCGUGCCUAAUACAUGCCAGUCGAGCGAACGGACGAGAAGCUUGCUUCUCUGAUGUUAGCGGCGGACGGGUGAGUAACACGUGGAUAACCUACCUAUAAGACUGGGAUAACUUCGGGAAACCGGAGCUAAUACCGGAUGAUAUUUUGAACCGCAUGGUUCAAAAGUGAAAGACGGUCUUGCUGUCACUUAUAGAUGGUUCCGCGCUGCAUUAGCUAGUUGGUAAGGUAAUGGCUUACCAAGGCAACGAUGCAUAGCCGACCUGAGAGGGUGAUCGGCCACACUGGAACUGAGGCACGGUCCAGACUCCUACGGGAGGCAGCAGUAGGGAAUCUUCCGCAAUGGGCGAAAGCCUGACGGAGCAACGCCGCGUGAGUGAUGAAGGUCUUCGGAUCGUAAAACUCUGUUAUUAGGGAAGAACAUAUGUGUAAGUAACUGUGCACAUCUUGACGGUACCUAAUCAGAAAGCCACGGCUAACUACGUG
This 497-nucleotide ribosomal RNA is filed under the name uncultured bacterium. RNAcentral's name for it is "partial 16S ribosomal RNA". It matches the Rfam family "Bacterial small subunit ribosomal RNA", at positions 28 to 507 of the family's 1533-position model. The record is from RNAcentral.